AUUCCUUGAUUCGAACAUUUUUGAAGCAUAUCUUUAAACCUCUCCCAAACUUCAUGAAAACUUUUGAAUUUGAAUUGUUGAAAAAUGGUUAUGUCAUGCUUGAGUUU
Molecule: small nucleolar RNA, 107 nt
Filed under: Olea europaea subsp. europaea
Lineage: Eukaryota; Viridiplantae; Streptophyta; Magnoliopsida; Lamiales; Oleaceae
Description: Plant small nucleolar RNA R71
Rfam family: Plant small nucleolar RNA R71
About the family: R71 is a member of the C/D box family of snoRNAs containing the C (UGAUGA) and D (CUGA) box motifs. Multiple nearly identical copies of this snoRNA have been identified in Arabidopsis, and it is thought to function as a 2'-O-ribose methylation guide for 18S ribosomal RNA.
Source: Rfam by way of RNAcentral